This 404-nucleotide long non-coding RNA is filed under the name Phaseolus vulgaris (common bean). Its description in RNAcentral is "long non-coding RNA (PVUL_LNC000383)". The record is from RNAcentral. Lineage: Eukaryota; Viridiplantae; Streptophyta; Magnoliopsida; Fabales; Fabaceae.
AGGUUCAAAAGAUUGGUUACCUAUUCACAGGAUGAACAUGUGCCACAAAACCAAACUCAAUCCCACCCACAAUGGUAGCAUGCACCAACAAACAACCACACAACACACCAAAGGGCCACGACCCUACCCAUGGCAAGGUCAUGCACUGAACGGGAAAAGUUGUUACCCAGGUUCAAAAAACUGGUUACCUAUUCACAUGAUGAACAUGUGUCACAAAACCAAACCCAAUUCCACCCACCAUGGUAGCAUGCACCAACAAACAACCACACAAGGCACACCACAAGACAUCAAAAGGCCACGACCCUAUCCAUGGCAAGGUCAUGCACUGAACGGGAAAAGUGGUUACCCAGGUUCAAAAAAUUGGUUACCUAUUCACAGGAUGAACAUGUGACACAAAACUAAAC